Molecule: unclassified non-coding RNA, 1245 nt
Filed under: Hevea brasiliensis (rubber tree)
Lineage: Eukaryota; Viridiplantae; Streptophyta; Magnoliopsida; Malpighiales; Euphorbiaceae
Source: RNAcentral
UAGGCGUACCAGCUUGGGAGUACCUGUAGUUAUAUCGUAUUUCAAAGAAUAAACAUCGGAACAACUCAUAUAAACUACAUAAAAUAAAAAGGGGUUAAUUUCAAAAACCCUUUCUGACAUUUGGUGAAAUACAUUUACACAGCUCUUCCCUCUUAAAAAAUGGAUUAAAUGGUUCUGGACAAUUAGUUUUAUUAACAAAAUGGUCCUGUUAAGGUUUCAAAUAAAAUGUUGUUAUUCAAUGAUGGAAACUAAUAUUAUAUUCUUCAAAAUACCCUUAAAAGAUUUUUAAGUCUAAUUUAUACCCAACUCGGUCACUUACCACUUCCACGCUUGCAGACCUGCAAAUGCGAUUUUCUUUUUUCUUUUUACAAACAAUUAAAUCAAGCUUGUGCUUAUUCUCUUUUUGCUUUUGAAAAUUUUUCGCUUGCCUAAAAUAUUGUCUUCCCAAACUAAUCUCAAUUCACCCAAAAACCCAAUUACAAUUGCAAAACCAGUAGAAAGCAAGCAACUUAUAGCCAACAAUUAUAAAAUGGAGCAGUCUCCCAUGUACCAAAGACAAUUUCUUUGCUGUUUAGUGUAGUCUAUCCCCACCAAUUGAAAAUCACAAAUUGAAUCUCCAUAACUACAUCAUAGCCAAGAUCUCAAAAUCCAAUCAGUACCAAAAACACAAAUGGAAUCAUCCAUUGAUGAAAACAGCUAUCCUUUACACAAUACUCAUCAAUGAAACUGCAUCUUGAGGUAUUCCCUCCACUAAUCGUCAAAUCCAUGAACCCAAAAUGCUCAUGCUCAUUCAUUGGACAAAUAGCAUUACAAUUCUCAAUAACCAAGUAUCAUGAGACUGCUUCUCAUCCACGGCUACUCGCUGAUUUUCUUUUCAUGCUUAGCUAAUGGUUUUCGCAUGUUAUACCUUUCUCACAUGGUGGCCAAGGUCAGUUGUCAUAAAUGUGUGGUUGCUCGCAAUUUAUGGAGGUAAUGGAGCUCAGUACUUACUAUUUAGGAGGGAAGAAAGAUUCAAAUGACUGGAGAUAUGAAAAUAAUCAUGUCUAUAGAGGGUAAUUUUGUGCUUUCAAAUUUAGUAAACAGUUCUACCCUUGGUUUUCCAAUAGAAGAACUAGACCAUUCAUGUUUUGGAAUGUCCAGGAGCAUUUAAUCACUUUUGGAAAACGCGUCAUAUAGGUAUGCUAAAUGCCGGGGCUUUUAUAAUUUAUCCAAAAAUCAUCAUACCAUAGUAAGAAAUUAGCAAAA